AAGUUAUACCGAAAUUUUGAUAUUGAAAAAUGGAAUAAUUUUUUACAAUUCAAAGAAAAAUAUAACGAAAUAAAUAAUGCAGACCCAAAAGCACAUUUAAAUCAUGUUUACAGGGUAUAACAUAUUGUUUAAAGUUGUUUGCUAGUCCCCGCCCCGCUGGCCGGCAACUGUUCGCCACCCUUUUUAAACAGAUCGCGGCUAUGGUUUUGGAGUACCCGUUCGAGACAAGGGAAAAUAUUGUUUCGAGACACAUUUGGUGAGCUAUUGUUGUCAUUCGAACUCGGAGGGACUCGCAUCGCCGCCGCGCCCUGUCUGACAUGUGGGCACAUCAUCAUCAUCAUCUUGAACAUCAACAUCAACAUCAUCAGCCACAACCAGAGGCGGGACUGGGCCUUUACCUACACUUUAGCCUGUGCUUCGAUUUCUGUUUGCUGUUCGUGCCACAUAUGUGUUGCAUGUGUUGCAUGCGGCAUCUGCACCAAUCCACUGGAAUAUGCUCAUCGCACGAGUCUGGAAGUAUCGUGGGGAAAAAAAGGGUUUCCUCACUAGUUUCCCCCGUUCAUGUCAGCCAAAAUACCAAAACUUUUGACCUUCGUACCAUACUCGACUUAUAGGUAAUAUAUUUCCUGCCCAGGCCAAAAAUAACCCCAUGAUUUGCAAUAUUUGGCAAAUAAACAGAAACGUAUACAAAGAAAAUGCUCAUUCGGCUAACAAUUGAAUAUGCCGCUUGUUGGAAUUGGCCAGCGAUUUUUCAAGUUCAAAUAAUUUUCAAAUAUUUCACAGGCAGAAAGAAAAUACUUUUGUGUUUAUAUCAAAAACAAUGCGAGUGAGCCGUGCAAUUCGCAAUGGCUCGUUGCAUGCGAAUACGUGCCAAAACCGAAGGUUAUUAACUAGUUCAGCUAGGCAAACCCAUCUCUAACGAUCUACACAAAAACGAAACAAUCAAGCGACUGCCAAAGCCAACAAAACAGCAGCUAAAACAGAAGCACAGAAGCUGCCCCAACAGGCCACAUUCAUAUAUAGUAUACAUAUACCCAUACACUUCCACUACAGAGAGAAAGACAGACACAUCAUUUAGAAUGUUUGUUUAUGCGGCGGGAAAAUAUUGCAUGUUCAUAUCUGUAGUAUAAUGCCGACGUCUCGGCCAAUAUACGUAUAUGUACGUGUUGAUAAACACACGCGCUGUUGGAGAAUGAAGUGUAGUCAAAAAUUUCAUGGGAAAAAUUCUCAAAACUAAACGGCUAGUUAUUGUAUAAAAUGUGUUUGCUUUACAGUGGUCACUCGGUAAUUACAACUGUAAAAUUUUUGUUUAUAUAUUCAUAUUUUUAAAUAC
Drosophila novamexicana is the source of this 1333-nucleotide long non-coding RNA. RefSeq lists it as uncharacterized. NCBI's taxonomy places the organism in Eukaryota, Metazoa, Arthropoda, Insecta, Diptera, Drosophilidae. The record is from RefSeq and is a predicted model, not a curated record. The transcript has 3 exons.